GACGAACGCUGGCGGCGUGCCUAAUACAUGCAAGUUGAGCGAUGAAGAUUGGUGCUUGCACCAAUUUGAAGAGCAGCGAACGGGUGAGUAACGCGUGGGGAAUCUGCCUUUGAGCGGGGGACAACAUUUGGAAACGAAUGCUAAUACCGCAUAACAACUUUAAACAUAAGUUUUAAGUUUGAAAGAUGCAAUUGCAUCACUCAAAGAUGAUCCCGCGUUGUAUUAGCUAGUUGGUGAGGUAAAGGCUCACCAAGGCGAUGAUACAUAGCCGACCUGAGAGGGUGAUCGGCCACAUUUGGACUGAGACACGGCCCAAGCUCCUACGGGAGGCAGCAGUAGGGAAUCUUCGGCAAUGGACGAAAGUCUGGCCGAGCAACGCCGCGUGAGGGAAGAAGGUUUUCGGAUCGUAAAACUCUGUUGGUAGGGAAGAACGUUGGUGAGAGUGGAAAGCUCAUCAAGUGACGGUAACUACCCAGAAAGGGACGGCUAACUACGUG
This 497-nucleotide ribosomal RNA is filed under the name uncultured bacterium. Its description in RNAcentral is "partial 16S ribosomal RNA". It matches the Rfam family "Bacterial small subunit ribosomal RNA", at positions 28 to 507 of the family's 1533-position model. The record is from RNAcentral.